CCUCUCCCCUCCUCUCUCGCCCGUCGUCCACCAUCCGACGCCGCCCCCUUUCCCAACCGACAUCACCCCUUCCCCAGCCGACGCCGCCCCCAACCCAGUCACCACUCCCGCCUCCUCCUUCUCUCUCCUUCCCAUCUCCCAUCACCCGUCACCCUUCGCCCCGUUGUCGUCGCCCGACUCCGUCGCUCGUCACCCGCGUGUCGUUCGUCGCCUUGGCCAUUGUCUGUCACCUGCCGCCAUCACAGUCCUUGGAGGGGUAGAAGAAGAUAGACUUGCGAGGUGCAUUCGUAGGUUGGCUCUUAACUUGAAGAUGUAGGAAAUUGUAAAGAAGAACAUCGCAGGUGCUAGCGGUGACAACUUCUCUGAAGAUAUCUGAAUUGUUCGGUGGCUCUCUCUCUGUACGUCUCUCCCAGCGUCUGCUUAUACUAUCAGAAACUAGUUUGUUUGUUUUCUUGUGCAGUAUGCUUCCAGUGUUUGUGAUUUUGUUGUACCAGACUCUAUAUUAGCUGGUGAUGUCUUUCUUUCGACUUUGAGUGAAGGAUCUUAGUAGGCUUAGCUUCGUAGGUGACGACUAGGUCCGCUCCUUACCAGCUGUUUCUCUUCUUUGAUCCUUCCUCUCUGCUUCUAUGUUGGACUUGUAAUAGACUUUUCAUCUUAGUUACAUAUAUUAUUAUUGAA
Molecule: long non-coding RNA, 678 nt
Organism: Asparagus officinalis (garden asparagus)
Lineage: Eukaryota; Viridiplantae; Streptophyta; Magnoliopsida; Asparagales; Asparagaceae
Exons: 2
Source: RefSeq, a predicted model, not a curated record